RNAcentral lists this ribosomal RNA (441 nucleotides) under uncultured bacterium. RNAcentral's name for it is "partial 16S ribosomal RNA". It matches the Rfam family "Bacterial small subunit ribosomal RNA", at positions 338 to 795 of the family's 1533-position model. The record is from RNAcentral.
CCUACGGGAGGCAGCAGUGGGGAAUAUUGGGCAAUGGGCGCAAGCCUGACCCAGCAACGCCGCGUGCAGGAAGAAGGCUUUCGGGUUGUAAACUGCUUUUAAGAGGGAAGAGCAGAAGACGGUAGCACUUGAAUAAGCCACGGCUAACUACGUGCCAGCACCCGGGGUAACACGGGGGAAGCGAGCGUUGUCCGGAUUUAUUGGGUUUAAAGCGUGCGUAGGCGGGCUGUUAAGUCAGCGGUAAAAGCCCGGGGCUCAACCCCGGCGAGCCGUUGAUAUUGGCUGACUUGAGAUGUAGAGAGGUAUGCGGAAUGCGAAGUGUAGCGGUGAAAUGCGUAGAUAUAGCGAAGAACUCCGAUUGCGAAGGCAGCAUACUGGCGGCGAUCUGACGCUGAGGCACGAAAGCGUGGGUAUCGAACAGGAUUAGAUACCCCUGUAGUC